Molecule: unclassified non-coding RNA, 326 nt
Filed under: uncultured fungus
Lineage: Eukaryota; Fungi
Description: sequence contains ITS2
Rfam family: 5.8S ribosomal RNA (bases 1-52)
Source: RNAcentral
AACGCACCUUGCGCUCCUUGGUAUUCCGAGGAGCAUGUCUGUUUGAGUGUCAUGAACUCUUCAACCCUCCAUUUCCUCGUUUGAAAUGUUUUGAGGUGGUUGGAUUUUGAGUGCUUGCUCUUUUGUCAAAAUUAGCUUGCUCGUAAUAUAUUAGCACAAUUCGACUUCGAACUCGGAUUGACUCGGCGUAAUAGACUUUUUCGCCGAGGACAUUGAGAAUUAGCGUUCUCUAAUGGCCGAUUUUAGACGGUUUGAAUAGCUUCAAACGCUGUAAACCUAUUUUAAGAUUAGACCUCAAAUCAGGCAGGAUUACCCGCUGAACUUAA